UAUCAUCAAAUAUACCUUAAGCCUCACUUAUAUUUUUAUAUUUGCUCGAUUUUUUGAAUAAGACGAAUUGUCAACAUAUAUCUAAAAGUCAACAGCGUCAUACAUUUAAAAACAGAGGGAGUACAAUACUACAUCCAUCCCAAGGUGUAACUAUAUCUAGCUAUGAAUCUAGACAAGUUCAUAUCCAGAUUCAAAGCCAAAGAGAGCUACAUUUUGGGCAGGAGGUUUUACUACACUGCGACCUUUGUAGGUUAGGAGCCAAAAAGAUAAAUAGUAACCAGGAGUAACAAACUAUGAUACUCCCUCCGUCCCAAAAUAAACAAACCUAGUACAGGACUAGGAAGUGCCACAUCCCCGUACUAGCUUUGUUUAUUUUGGGACAGAGGGAGUACCUAGCAAGCUACGAGACUAGCCAGUAGUUUCUUGUGC
Molecule: non-coding RNA, 429 nt
Filed under: Oryza sativa Indica Group (long-grained rice)
Lineage: Eukaryota; Viridiplantae; Streptophyta; Magnoliopsida; Poales; Poaceae
Also listed under: 1 other name
Source: RNAcentral